This 354-nucleotide long non-coding RNA is filed under the name Vigna radiata. Its description in RNAcentral is "long non-coding RNA (VRAD_LNC003534)". The record is from RNAcentral. Lineage: Eukaryota; Viridiplantae; Streptophyta; Magnoliopsida; Fabales; Fabaceae.
GCCGGGGACUCAGGGUUUUAACUAUUCUAUUUGUGUGAUCCUUGAUUAAUUUUGACUUUAUUUUAUUUUUAUUUUAUUUGUUAUUUUUCCAUUUUUAUUUUUUAUUUUUAUUUUUCAAUUCCUAAUUUUUAUUUUUAUUUUUGUACUAACAAUCUCUCUCUAGAAUUUUUGUGCAAGAUGCAGGGUGUUCUAGGAAAUUUCAACCAUUGGUAGGGAUCUCGCUUAAGCAUUAAUCAAAAUCAAUUUGGGCAAGUAGGUGGGCUAUUCACUAGACCACCACAAGCUAACAGUACUACAAAGCUUGAGGAGACUCUCCAACAGUUUUUGAAGGAAUCUCUUUCAAUUCAGGAAAGC